UUGUUUAAUUACAAUCCUACUAUAAUACCAAUGCAGUUUCUUCAGGGUCUUCACUUUAAUAUCCUUUCAUUUAACUGUUUAAAGUUUCUCGUUUAUCUACUCUGCAUUAUAUGAUGUGGGGUCGUUUGUUAAUUUAGAUGUGAACUAUCUUCAAUUCAAGUUUUGAUUGGACAAUCACUUAUAGCCAAUUAUUUCAAAACAUUCUGUUGUUUAAAUGUUUAUUACUCAUUUAUAUUGAGCAAAGGUAAAUUUCUUCAUAUGCAAGCAUCUCAAAGCUUGUUCCAGUUUAGAAUUUUAUUAUAUUACCCUUAGAUGUAGAAAAAUUGGAAAAAAUU
This is a long non-coding RNA of Octopus sinensis (East Asian common octopus), 335 nucleotides long. RefSeq lists it as uncharacterized. The record is from RefSeq and is a predicted model, not a curated record. The transcript is spliced from 4 exons. Lineage: Eukaryota; Metazoa; Mollusca; Cephalopoda; Octopoda; Octopodidae.